GAGGUGUAGAUCACAUCUCACAUUCCAGUGUUCCUAAUGGAGGUGUAGAUCACAUCUCACAUUCCAGUGUUCCUAAUAGAGGUGUAGAUCACAUCUCACAUUCCAGUGUUCCUAAUGGAGGUGUAGAUUACAUCUCACAUUCCAGUGUUCCUAAUGGAGGUGUAGAUUACAUCUCACAUUCCAGUGUUCCUAAUGGAGGUGUAGAUUACAUCUCACAUUCCAGUGUUCCUAUUGGAGGUGUAGAUCACAUCUCACAUUCAAGUGUUCCUAAUGG
Long non-coding RNA from Oncorhynchus keta (chum salmon), 274 nucleotides. RefSeq lists it as uncharacterized. Lineage: Eukaryota; Metazoa; Chordata; Actinopteri; Salmoniformes; Salmonidae. The transcript has 3 exons. The record is from RefSeq and is a predicted model, not a curated record.